AGGCGGGCUCUUUCCGCAGGACACCCAGAGAGCUGCGGCGGAGGAAAAGGGGUGGGGGCGGCGCGGCGUAGCGCGGGGCUCGGCUUGGUGGGCGCCGCCCACCAGUGUGAGCCGCGCUCGCCCGCCACCGGGACCCGGUUUCCAAAAUUGGUUUUUAAAGCUCCCUGAACGGGCUUUUCCUUGAACUUCCGGUCUCUGUGGGGCGCCCUUCCCUCCCACAGUCUCCGUACCUGGUGGUUCUUGGCGUGAUGAGACUUCCAGGACUAUGUGAAAUCAGUUAUGCAAACUGGGCCUUCGUGGAAUCAUCUGAACGAUGGCUGAGUCCCCAGACUUCAGGGCUUUGGGAUUGUCUUCCAGCUUCUUGCCUGAGCGCUGGUCAGUCUUCUCCCUGAGGUCUGCAAACUUGCAGGCAAUGUGGGCCGUGUGGCAGUCCAGGACUGGCCUUCACCUCCUUGCUGAUCUCAAAGCGUGCGCUACUGUAAGGAGGCUCCGUGAUGUCCAUCUUAUUGACUGCCACGAUGAGCUGCUUCACACCCAGCGUACAGGCCAGCAGUACAUGCUCACGGGUCUGCCCAUCCUUGGAGAUGCCAGACUCAAACUCACCUACACCACUGGCCACAAUCAGCACAGCACAGUCUGCCUGGCCCAAGUGACAGACAGAAGAAGGCCCAACUCAGACUUGGCCGGGGACACCCACUGCCCACCCCUGCAGCAGAGCCAAGACGACUCCGGUGGUACCUGUGAGGUCCCUGUGAUCAUGUUCUUGAUGAAGUCACGGUGACCUGGGGCAUCGAUGACGGUGAUGUAAUAUUUUUUGGUCUCAAACUUCCACAGGGAGAUGUCAAUGGUGAUGCCCCGUUCCCGUUCUGCCUUCAGCUUGUCCAGCACCCAGGCAUACUUGAAGGAGCCUUUGCCCACCUGGGCCGGGAGCAGGAGGGAAAGCCCCAGGGUCACCCCUAUAUCCAAAGCUGCCCAUCAACCAGGAAGGAAGUUACGAAAGGAGUUGAGAGUCAGAGGGAUGGUAACAGGACUGUGUAUGGAGAGACCUUUGAAUUUUUCAAACAACAUAAUUUAUUACUUGUAUAAUUAAGUUUGUCUUUCAGCGCUGGUUUGGGAGUCAGAGUGACCCAGGGCCAAAUGACAAAGUGCCUAGGCAAGCAUGUGGACCUGGCAGAGGGUCAGCAAGCCCUCAAAUCAGUAAUAGCGAACAUCUUUAGUUCCUGAGAUACGGCAUGGCAUCUGUGUCACACUGGUAUUUAAACCUUGGCACCAUCCUCAGGCAAGCUCUUUUACCCUUCUGAGCCUCAUUUGUCUCACCUGGAAAAUGACAGCCAUCACCUGCCUGACAUGAUUGAGAGGGAAAGCACCUACCAGCCCAGCAGGUGCUCAGCGGAAGUGAGCAGUCUCCUCCCCGACAGUGAGCCGCCUGCAUCAGCCUGACCCGUGGCAAACCCUGAGUUUGGUGAAUGAAGCAGAAUGACUGCUGCCGCCUUCAGGGCUUGACUCCUGUACGCAUCGUCACCUUUAUGCCACCGCUAACUCUACCUGAGUGCUGAGGGAACUGAGGCUCAGGAGCUGGGAAGAAAGUAGCAGGACUCAAGCUGUGUGACCGCAGAGUCUCCACCAGAACCCAGUGCUGCCUCCCAGUGAACUCAUGCCCGAAGGAAGGGAUGUGAGUCCGACCCUGCUCAUUUCUGGGGUCCCAGCCUCCAGCCCUGGCUUGCUGAAUGAAUGUUUAGGGUAGGACCUGGGAAGAAGAUGAGGGCGGGGAAGGGGGGGCAGUCUCCCACACGGAAGGGCUGGCCGCAGAAUUGAGGACAAGCUACUGGACUGUAGUCUGAGGCUAGUACAGUGCUGGCAGCCUCCAGAGGUUCUGGAACCACCCACACAUCAGUUCCUGAGGACCAGGCUCUGUGUCUGGAGACCAGAUAGAUGCAGGGAAAGGUGGCGGAGAGAAUAGGCUUCUGAGAAGGCUGACCUGAUCAGAUCGGAGUCCUGGCUAUGCGGCUCUCACUCAGUGGUCCUUGAGCCACUCAGUGGUCCUUGAGCCCCUCCGGGCCUGGGUGGCCACCAACUUCUUCGUGUUGUGGUGAUUCAAGGAGAUAAGCCCCCUCCCUCAUAAAUCUUGAUGGUACUGAUAAUUGGUCCUUUAAAGAACUUAUGACAAAGUGGAAACACACGGGGGCGCUUUAACCACAAACCACAGGUUAACAUGUUCUUAGAACCUGGGCAGUUAGUUGGGAGCUGGGGACAGCCAGAGGGCUAUUAUCACAGUACUGUGCUGAUCACACUGACCAGCUCUGGCCCUUCCUCUUCCGAUACAGGUGGUGGUAGAGAAAUGAUUUGUGAGUGGUUGGAUCAUGUAGCUAAGUUCACCUUCAUCUAAGCUUUGUUUUUCACUCAUUAUUUGGCAUCUUCGGGGUUAACAGUUCCUUAGCUAUAAGUCCCACAAGUUCCUAAGAGGCAAAGUGAGGCUCUUGGGAUCAUUGUGUUUAUCACCCAUCCCCGGACGUUCAGCUCCUGCUUCUGUGUAUCUGUGGAGCGUUGGGAAGGAAACUGGUUUUGGGAUCCAAAGACCAGGUGAGUCACCUCUGCCACUUCAUGGCUUGCUCCCCCUUCCUCCACCUCCUCUUCAUUCUCACCGGGCCAGCCUUGCUCUCCCUCUCUUCUUGCAGGACAGGGGAGCUUCCUCCCCACGCCAGCCGGUCCGCAGCAGCCCCACAAGUGUGUAUAGUCCAGAAGGUUCCCAAUGCACAGAAGGGCACUCAGGAGCCAGGUCUGAGGGACAGCCAGAGUCUAGAGACCACACAGAGU
Molecule: non-coding RNA, 2814 nt
Organism: Leptonychotes weddellii (Weddell seal)
Lineage: Eukaryota; Metazoa; Chordata; Mammalia; Carnivora; Phocidae
Source: RefSeq, a predicted model, not a curated record